AGCUUUGUAUCCCCCUCCCCCAGUGCUGUUGACAAUAUAAAUCCUUGCACCUAAAAGAACAAACAAACAAAAUCCAAAAACCUCUUGUCUAUGUCAGAGGACACCGCUGUGUCUAGGGAAAUCACCACCUCUUCCUCCAAGUUUCCUGUGCUGUCCAUUAGAACAUGGCCGGCCCUCCUACCCCAGGCCCUAGAUGUGCCUCUGACCAUUCUUCUGUUUAUAACGCCAACCCUUACAUCUUUUAAAAAAAAAUAAUUUUAUGGGGUCUGAGAGAUGGCUCAGUGGUUAAAAGCGCUUGUUGCUCUUCCAGAGGACAUGGGUUUAAUUACCCAGACCCAUAUUUGGCUCCUGGCACCCACAUGAGACAGCUCACCACUGCCUGUGAUUUAGCUCCAGGGCAUCUGAUAUUCUCUUCUGGCCUGUGUGGGCACUUGCACACUUAUGGUGCACAGGCGUACAUUUAAGUGCAUACACAUACUCAUAGAUAAUAGAUGUCUUUAAGAAUAAUUUAUAGUGUGCUGCAAUACCCAUAACAAUUUACCAUUUUUAACCAUUAACCCUUUUAUUGCUGUGUGUGUGUGUGUGUGUGUGUGUGUUUCCCCUGGAAGGAUGAGGGAGGGAUGCUUCUAAGACCCAGGGAGUAAUUAGUCUCACAAGACUCAGGAAAUGUAAAAAGUUAAAAAUGUUUUUCCUCCCCAAGGUUACAUAAGCUGAAAUAAUCCUGGGGAGAAAGGCUCCUCAGGACCAACCAUGCUGUCUUUGGGGUGUCCAGGGAGCCCCAGGGUGUUUGAGCUAUCAUCCAUAUUGGUAUGGACUGUUCAAUGAUGCCCCUGAAAUCAGCCCAAAUAGCCAGCUCCCUAAGCUAGACCUGUUGAUGGACACUUGGGCUAUCUCCAUCAUCUCCAAGUUAUGAGUAAUGUUGUCUGCGUCUGGUGCUGUUGUGAGUGUGCAGUGUUGGUAUAGUUAGAUAGCACUGCUUCCCCGCCCUUGAGCGUGGUUAAGUAUCCUCAUCUAUCAUGACCCUGUUGUAAGUACUGUGGCUUCCCUUACCUUAGAAUAACUCGUGAGAAGACUUGAGGAGAAGUCUCAGUCAACAAAGCACUCGCCUCACACACCUGAGGACCUGAGGACCAAGCCACAGAACCCGAUUAAAAGGCUAAGAUUACAGAAGUGCAUGCCUGUAAUCCCAGUGAUGGUGAAGGGGGUGGAGAGAGGUGGAGCCCUAGAAACUCUCUGGUCUGCUAAAGCAAAGAAAGAGGGGGGAAGGUGUCUGUGCAAUGACAUCAGAUUUAUCCCCGGACCUCCACAUGCAUGUGCGUGCGCACACCAAUAACCCAAGAGACCCCUUAACUAAAAGCCUAGAUUUAUGCCAUGUCCCAUCCUCUUCCAGGUACCCUGGGUUUUGAUGCCUUACACACACACCUGACAGCCUCACCCCAGGUCCUAUCCACAUCAGCUUUGUCAACUUGACACAGCCGACAGCCAUCAAUGGAAGAAGUGCUUAAAUCAGGAUUGGGUGCCAGAACUUCCAGAAGUUUCAUCUGAGUGAUGAGGUUCGGAUCGGUGGAGGCACAAACUAGCCCUGGGCCCUGGCUGCUUGGAGUGUCGGUUACGAGCCUGCUGUGGGGCGUGGACUGGAUUGGAUCCGCUUUAGCUCCCGUGAAGCCUCUCAGUGCUUUAGGGAGGAGUGGAGCUACAUCUGUCUAUAGAAGCCAUGGUGGCUCACACCUGUAAUCCCAGGGUUUAGGGGGCAGAGGAGGAGGAUUGCUUUGAAUUUGAGCCCAGCCUCUUCUAUUGGUCAGCCAGAACUUGGGGGUGGGGGAAAGUCAUAUAUUGGUUUGUUCUGAAUAGACUGGACCUUAGGGUAACCAGGGAGGGGACACAGAGGGAGACAGGAUGGUUCCAGGAUGUCUUUUGCUGUAAGUUUUCCCAUUCGAGUGGCCACAGCUCUAGUCAUCCUGCCUUUUACACACAAGCAUUCCCCUCUAGGCUCUGGGCCCAGCCCCUCCUCUCCCAUGCGGGCACACUGAUAGACAACACACAUUUCUAGCUCUGAGGUACAAGGCUUCCCUUGUGGUCACCUACCCCCCUGUCCUGUUGUUCUGUGAAAUUCUUCUCUAACUUAUUGGCUUGACUUACCAAGACCCACGGUCAACGUGAGCCUACUAACGUGAGCCUCCUAAGGACAUAGGAAACAGGAGUGGAGCCCAUUACAAAAACCCCCACUGUCUCCCGGGCCUCCACUCUACCAGACAUCUCACAUGGGACCGAAUAAUGCUGACUUUAUUGCCUAGUAAAACGUAUAUAUAUAUCCCUAGCCUUCUGGGCCUGCUCUGUAGGACAGAUUUCAGAUGCCCACAAGAACCUAUGAUUAGAUCCCAGCUGCAUCCAGUGGCUUCAGGGACGCCCCUUCCGCUGUGGACUGGACUGGCCCAGAUGGGAAGGCUGAGUCUGAGGUGUUUGGACUUUCUCAGAAAUCAGAGUCCAGAGCUGGAGUAGCCAGUGUCUGACACUCAUACAUGUCUCAUGUUUAUCUGAACUGAUCCUUCUCUGGUUGGCUCUAAUAGACUAGUUGCUGGUGAUGUUGAGGAGAAGACUACGUUUUCUUGUUUUGUCUCAUGCAUGAUGCCACGGAUUAGGGCACGUGGCCCAUAGGUUGAAAAGUGGUGCCCUAUAUCCUGACUUCCACCCUCAUAAGAUUAAGAUGUUUUGCUGAAUAAUUUUGAAAUGUUCGGUCAAGUUCUUAUGUGAAUGAA
Molecule: long non-coding RNA, 2756 nt
Organism: Apodemus sylvaticus (European woodmouse)
Lineage: Eukaryota; Metazoa; Chordata; Mammalia; Rodentia; Muridae
Exons: 3
Source: RefSeq, a predicted model, not a curated record